RNAcentral lists this long non-coding RNA (2117 nucleotides) under Mus musculus (house mouse). Its description in RNAcentral is "long non-coding RNA chr11:93890324-93892441". The record is from RNAcentral. Lineage: Eukaryota; Metazoa; Chordata; Mammalia; Rodentia; Muridae.
AACUUUUCAGCUGUACUGGAAAUGUCUGUUAUCUGUAUGGAAGUCACUAGCCACAGUGGCUAUUGAGCACUUAAAAUGUAGCUAAUGGAAGGACGCAUUCAAUAUUUUAUCAUACUGUUUUUAUUUGAUGUCAAUUUAAACAGUCAUAUCUCUUCCAAAUUGAGCAUGUAGGUUUUGGUACAAUGUAAUCACUAAGUUCAUCUCUUAAAGAUUGGAGUUUAAAAUACACUUUUCCUGGAGGUGGUUAUUCAGUGGGCCUACAGUAAGGUCUGAUAACCAGUUGGUCUAGUUUGGUUUCUAUGUCUCACUGUCUCUUAUGUGUCUCUGUCUGUCUCUCUCUCUCUUUCUCUCUCCCCUCCCCACCCACCCUGUCUCACACACAGGAAUGUGUGUAUGUAGAAGCCAGAAGUUGGCAUUGGGUGUUUUCCUCUUAUUCUCUACUUACUUUGUGAGACUGGCUCUCUAACUAAAGACCCCAGGGUUCUACCUGUCUGCCUUUCAGCAACUGGGGGAUUGCAGACGCCUACUGUUGUGCCUAUCUUUUAUGUGGUGCAGGAGAAUCUAAACUUGGGUCCUAGUACUUGGGCAUCAAGUACUCUACCAUCUUCCCAAUCUAGUUUGGUUUUUUAAGACAAAGUUCUCAUUUCAAGUCCAGUCUGGCUUUGAACUUGUGUGUGCUUCCACUUGAACAUUGCUGGAGUUUUAGGUGUGUGCACCAAGCCCUGCCAAGAGGGUGUUUCAUGUGUGUCCAGAAAGUUUUUUCUUACCAAAUCAGUUAGGGAAACACUGUUUGAUUUUGAACUCCUUUCUGCUUUUUAACUCUGACUUGAAUGUUAAUUUAGAAUUUAGUGUAGUAAAAACAAGAUCUGAACAAAGUGGGCAAAUUGGUUGGGCUCUAGUUCUGGCUCUGAAUUCAUUUAUUCAUUUUGUUCUUAAGGCAAGUUGCCUACUGUCAGAGCUUUGAUCUCUUCAUCUGAAAUAUGAGGUGAGAAUCAAGUCUUACUCUUUUCAUAGGGUUUCUGUAAGCCUCCACUCAGAGAUGUGAUGAUCACUGCAAUUAAAAAGUGAGUAGCACUGUCAAUGUCUUCCCAGAUGUCCUUUUCACUGUAUAAGUGCCACCCCAUUAUAAAGCUACUUGUAUAUAAUAGUUUAUUUAAAGCAUUGUAGCCCCAAUUAUUUGACCCUACUUUGUAGACUAGUCAUAGAGCAGGCAUACCAAGUCUAGUAAACUUUUAUACUUCUGUUGUUUGGCACUGAAGCUUAUAGGCUAAUAUCUAUUACUUUGCUUUUUUAAUGUCCAAUUAUGUUACACAUGGUAGAAGUACCCCUUGUAUAUGUAUAUCUAACAGUACUGGUUAGCUCUACUCAGUAACUACAUAGCUUUUUAUUGCAUCUGUAUUUAUUUUGUGUUUGUACACGUGUGAGCUUGUGUAUGCCACAGAAUGGAUGAAGGUCAGAAGACAGCUUGCAGCCUCCCCAGCAUCCAGAUCCCAGGGGUUGAACUCAGGCCAUCAGGCUUUGUGACAAGAUGAAUACACCAGAGAUGUAGCGGUCGAUGUAGCGCAAUGGUACUGCUUGCCUAACAUUUGCAAGAUUCUGGGUUCGAUCCCCAACACACACAUACAAAAUUAAACAACAAUAAUAAUUUUUAAGACCCUUUAGGCCACUGUUUGUUUCCUAAUUACUUGUAAAAUACCUUAUCUUAGCCUGCUUUUGAAGUGAGUUAUAUUUUCUUAAAAGAGAAGGAAAGUGAGACCUAAGUAAUUGUGGCAUCCAAAUUGUAAAACUGACAGAACCAGAAAUUGGACCUAAAAGUAUAGAAAUUUGGACCCAGUUACUCAUCAAACUGUAUUUGAUCCUGAUGGUGAGAUGAGACAGAAACCAGCAGGAACUAAGUAAUUUUCUAGACCCUAAAUCCAGCCAUCUCUUGAUUUCUCAUCUGAACUUUGUGAUCUCAUGUAAGUUUAUGAUUCAAGAAUAAUAGCCACAUGGUAGUGGUUUCGCCUUUAUUCCCAGUACUCAGAAAGCAGAGGCAGGCACAUAUCUUGAAUUUGAGGCCAGCCUUUUCUACAGAACAAGUUCCAAGACAGCCAGAGCUAUACAAAGAAACCCUAUCU